GCUCCCAUAGUCUAAAUGGAUAGGCACUCGGCUUCGGACCGAGAAUGAUGCGGGUUCGAGUCCUGCUGGGAGUA
Molecule: transfer RNA, 74 nt
Filed under: Anaerolineales bacterium
Lineage: Bacteria; Bacillati; Chloroflexota; Anaerolineae; Anaerolineales
Description: tRNA-Arg
Rfam family: tRNA
About the family: Transfer RNA (tRNA) molecules are approximately 80 nucleotides in length. Their secondary structure includes four short double-helical elements and three loops (D, anti-codon, and T loops). Further hydrogen bonds mediate the characteristic L-shaped molecular structure. tRNAs have two regions of fundamental functional importance: the anti-codon, which is responsible for specific mRNA codon recognition, and the 3' end, to which the tRNAs corresponding amino acid is attached (by aminoacyl-tRNA synthetases). tRNAs cope with the degeneracy of the genetic code in two manners: having more than one tRNA (with a specific anti-codon) for a particular amino acid; and 'wobble' base-pairing, i.e. permitting non-standard base-pairing at the 3rd anti-codon position.
Source: RNAcentral